RNAcentral lists this ribosomal RNA (274 nucleotides) under uncultured bacterium. RNAcentral describes it as "partial 16S ribosomal RNA". It matches the Rfam family "Bacterial small subunit ribosomal RNA", at positions 523 to 796 of the family's 1533-position model. The record is from RNAcentral.
AUACGGAGGGUGCAAGCGUUGUACGGAUUUAUUGGGUUUAAAGGGUGUGUAGGCGGUGUAUUAAGUCAGUGGUGAAAGCCUGCGGCUCAACCGUAGAACUGCCAUUGAUACUGACACACUUGAGUAUGGACGAGGUAGGCGGAAUUUAUGGUGUAGCGGUGAAAUGCAUAGAUACCAUAAAGAACACCGAUAGCGAAGGCAGCUUACUAGGCCAUAACUGACGCUGAGGCACGAAAGCGUGGGGAGCGAACAGGAUUAGAAACCCCAGUAGUCC